This is a long non-coding RNA of Diceros bicornis minor, 362 nucleotides long. RefSeq lists it as uncharacterized. The record is from RefSeq and is a predicted model, not a curated record. NCBI's taxonomy places the organism in Eukaryota, Metazoa, Chordata, Mammalia, Perissodactyla, Rhinocerotidae. The transcript has 3 exons.
UUUGUUUUUUUUUUCCGUUAGAAAAGAAAAGUGUCUGGGGGGCUCAAGUUUGAGUUGAAACCAGGCUCAGGGUCCACCUGUCCUCGCUGAUCCGUGGAUUUCUGUGUGACCAGCUGACACCUAUGGAGCUGUGGCCCUGACUACUACCAGCUUGCUCAUCCCUCUACUCACACAGUCACCCCUCCCCUCACUCUCAUUUAUGCUUCACCUGUGAAUGGUGGUCCUGGGAAAGCCACUGCUGGAGCCCGGGUGAGCCUGGGGGCUCCUCCCACUCUGUCCCUCCCUGAGACAGCCCUCGCCACAGCUCCCGAGCCGGCCACCACGUCCCUGCAUACUUGAUCAUCAACUGUGCCACCAGAAGC